CACGUAGGGGGCAAGCGUUGUCCGGAUUUAUUGGGCGUAAAGAGCUCGUAGGUGGUUCGGUAAGUCGGGUGUUAAACCCCCAGGCUCAACCUGGGGACGCCACUCGAUACUGCUGUGACUAGAGUCCGGUAGGGGAGCGUGGAAUUCCUGGUGUAGCGGUGAAAUGCGCAGAUAUCAGGAGGAAUACCGAUGGCGAAGGCAGGUCUCUGGGCUGACACUGACGCUCAUGCACGAAAGCGUGGGGAGCAAACAGG
This 254-nucleotide ribosomal RNA is filed under the name uncultured bacterium. RNAcentral describes it as "partial 16S ribosomal RNA". It matches the Rfam family "Bacterial small subunit ribosomal RNA", at positions 524 to 776 of the family's 1533-position model. The record is from RNAcentral.